This 253-nucleotide ribosomal RNA is filed under the name uncultured bacterium. RNAcentral describes it as "partial 16S ribosomal RNA". It matches the Rfam family "Bacterial small subunit ribosomal RNA", at positions 524 to 776 of the family's 1533-position model. The record is from RNAcentral.
UACGUAGGGGGCGAGCGUUGUCCGGAGUUACUGGGCGUAAAGGGCGUGCAGGCGGUGCGGUAAGUUUAGAGUGACAGUAUCCGGCUUAACUGGAUAAGGCCUCUGAAAACUGCCGGACUUGAGGGCCAGAGAGGGACAUAGAAUUCCGGGUGGAGUGGUGAAAUGCGUAGAUAUCCGGAGGAAUACCAAAGGCGAAGGCAGUGUCCUGGCUGGCAACUGACGCUGAGGCGCGAAAGCUAGGGGAGCGAAUGGG